AGCAGCCGCGGUAAUUCCAGCUCCAAUAGCGUAUAUUAAAGUUGCUGCAGUUAAAAGCUCGUAGUUGAAUUUCGGGACUAAUAUGUCGGUCGUGCCUCGGUACGUACUGGUUUAUUGGUUUCUCCUUUCUGAAGAACCAUGAUGUCAUUUAUUUGGUGUCGUGGGGAAUCAGGACUGUUACUUUGAAAAAUUAGAGUGUUUAAAGCAGGCUCACGCUUGAAUACAUUAGCAUGGAAUAAUGAAAUAGGACGUUUGAUUCUAUUUUGUUGGUUUCUAGGAUCGACGUAAUGAUUAAUAGGGAUAGUUGGGGGCAUUAGUAUUCAAUUGUCAGAGGUGAAAUUCUUGGAUUUAUUGAAGACUAACUACUGCGAAAGCAUUUGCCAAGGAUGUUUUCAUUAAUCAAGAACGAAAGUUAGGGAUCGAAGACGAUCAGAUACCGUCGUAGUCUUAACCAUAAACUAUGCCGACUAGGGAUCGGAUGAUGUUAAUUUUUAAUGACUCAUUCGGCGCCUUAAC
This 516-nucleotide unclassified non-coding RNA is filed under the name uncultured Glomus. Its description in RNAcentral is "SSU rRNA". It matches the Rfam family "Eukaryotic small subunit ribosomal RNA", at positions 569 to 1092 of the family's 1831-position model. The record is from RNAcentral. Lineage: Eukaryota; Fungi; Glomeromycota; Glomeromycetes; Glomerales; Glomeraceae.